Mytilus californianus (California mussel) is the source of this 1047-nucleotide long non-coding RNA. RefSeq lists it as uncharacterized. The record is from RefSeq and is a predicted model, not a curated record. The transcript is spliced from 4 exons. NCBI's taxonomy places the organism in Eukaryota, Metazoa, Mollusca, Bivalvia, Mytilida, Mytilidae.
CUUCAAGAGAAAUGCCACCACCAUAUAGCAAGAUUAGAGAUGUAGCAAGCGUCGAUAGCCAAUCGCACAGCGAUGAAGAUCCUCGUAGAUGUAUUCUAUCAUAACAAAAAGGAGCAAUUUUCAAGAAAAAAAUGUAUCCAUAGAUUUAUUAUUUUUUUCUUACAAUUAUAACUUAGUAAUAUUAUCUUUGUAGAUUACUAUUGUAAGCAUAUUAAAUCUGAAAUAACAAUAGACUUUUAUUACAAACAAUGUAUAAUAUAGGGGUUAGUCAUUUAUUCAAUUGCUAAAUUGUUUGAAGGUAUACUAACAAAAAAGAACAAUUACUUUUUUAAAUAUAGCUCUAAAAAAAGAAAUACAUUUUUUUUUAAAUAAGUCGUUACCUUUCUGGAUGUUCGCUAUUUUUUUUUGUCUAUUCUCUAUUUAUUUUCUAUAUGUUUUUUUUCAGAGAUUUAUUGUUUGCUUGCUUGAACUAUAAUUACUUUAAUAAGCGUGAUAUUCGAUUCUUGCUGUACAUUCCGUUAUUUCGAUCAGUUUUAUAUCGUAUACAUUACGAAAAAUUUACUCAUUGUAUACCUAAAAUGUUUUUCUUUUAUGGUUCACAGAAACGUGUAGUUAAAAAUUUCUACAUGUUUCCAUCAUUUAGAGGUCUUUUGGACAUUUUGUGUGUUGACAAAUUCUAUCUUUUUUUUUGCGUCAUUUUGAUGUAAUUUACUUUUUCGAUUGAAAAGGCUUCUUAAUAAUCAGUAAAGUAAGUGUGCAUCCUUGAAUAAUUCAAGAUUUUAUAUAUACGGUAUAGUUUUUACUUGCAUAAAUUUUAUUUCUAAUAAUGAUUGAACCAUAAUAUACACUCAUCAACUACAUCUAGGAAGGGGGAAGGAGAUAACAACCCUACUCUGAUGCCUGACAUCUAAUGUACAUUAGGUCACACGUAACAGAUCAUUGAUGAAGCGUAGUUUUUAUUUGUUUGAAAUAUCUCGAUUAAUUCCAACUAAGACCCACCAAAAAAAAGUAUACAAACCUCUAUCCCUUAUCCGUAAUUUUGAUGGU